RNAcentral lists this ribosomal RNA (341 nucleotides) under uncultured bacterium. Its description in RNAcentral is "bacterial SSU rRNA". It matches the Rfam family "Bacterial small subunit ribosomal RNA", at positions 47 to 390 of the family's 1533-position model. The record is from RNAcentral.
CCUUACACAUGCAAGUCGAACGGCAGCGCGGACUUCGGUCUGGCGGCGAGUGGCGAACGGGUGAGUAAUACAUCGGAACGUGUCCUUGUAGUGGGGGAUAGCCCGGCGAAAGCCGGAUUAAUACCGCAUACGAUCUACGGAUGAAAGCGGGGGAUCGCAAGACCUCGUGCUGGAGGGGCGGCCGAUGGCGGAUUAGCUAGUUGGUGGGGUAAAGGCCUACCAAGGCGACGAUCCGUAGCUGGUCUGAGAGGACGACCAGCCACACUGGGACUGAGACACGGCCCAGACUCCUACGGGAGGCAGCAGCGGGGAAUUUUGCCAAUGGGGGCAACCCUGAUCCA